This is a long non-coding RNA of Heterocephalus glaber (naked mole-rat), 2648 nucleotides long. The record is from Ensembl. NCBI's taxonomy places the organism in Eukaryota, Metazoa, Chordata, Mammalia, Rodentia, Bathyergidae.
GUGACUCUUGAAAGAAACAAAUAAUUGAAAAAUGAAAACCAAAAACUAAAUUAUUUUUAAAAAGUAACUAAAGGUAUAAAAUUAGAUAACUGGAAACCUCAAAACAAGUGAAAACAAAGAAAUUAAAACAAAAAAUAACUGAAAAUAACUGAAAUAAUUAAAAAAUUUAGAAAUCUAUAUGCGAACAUCCCAGACCGCCUCGGCCUAACAAUAGCACAUGUGCAUUCCCUGGCCUGGCUGAGUGGGUCCCAGCCCAGCCGCAGGGGACUUUGGCAGGUUGAAGGCAGGUUUUGAUUGUCACAGUUUGGGGGUGGGAAGGCGGACAUGGCGUGGUUUGUUACUGAUAUCUUGUGGUAGAGGCCCGGGCUGCUGCCACACGUCUGAGCCUCCACAGUGCACAUCUGGCCCUCCAAGGUCAGGAGCUACAAGCCCGUGGGCUGUCCUGGGGGCUCCCCGGGCCCUUCCUGGGGCUGCACAUCCACGGCUGCUGAGCUGUGGGCUGUUUUCCGCUUGAGGAAGGAGGGCGCGAUUGCAGCACCACGGCAGCCUGGCCCUAGGAGGCGGAUGGCAGGGCAGCCUGGCCAGGCUGGAGCGAUGGUGGUGACAAGGGUCAGUUCUCAGGAGAGGGGACGCUGGGACUUGAGGGCCUCGUCAGCACUGUGGGGGGCUGGAUGCCCGCUUGCUCCUCCUCGGCGCUGCUCGGUGCCCUGAAACGCCAGGAAGAAGGUCAGAGAAGGCCAGGCUAGCAGCCAGCUGCUUUCCUUCUCCUGCGUGCUCACCUUUCCCCCUCAGCACGUUCUUUCUCUCCCUCGGUGCUUCCUCUCCCGGUCUCCAGGGACACAGCUCUGGAGCAACCCGUUUCAGGGCUGUCAUCCAACUGGAAAAGUCCCGAGAGCUGGCGGCGGGGGGGGGGCGCAGCUCAGAGCCGGCCGGGUCCGGGUCCGCCUGGCCAGGCCUCCCGGGGACCCCAGCCCCACCCGACCAGAAGCCAGCGCGUGGCCAAGGUCUUCCGCGCCUUCGCCGCCUUCCCGGGUGGCCGCGGGGAGGAACUCGGGCCUGGAGGCGCCUUGGGAGAGAAGGGGCCGGGUCGGGCCUGGGCGAGGAGGACGGUCCCCGGCCGCGGGCAGCGUCCCGGGCAGCGUGGUCCCGCUAACCUCACCCGGGCAGCGCCUGCCUCGGGAUCCUCCCGUUUGCUCUGGGCCAGGGGGACCCCGGAUUAGAGGACUCCCGGAAGAUAAGGCUGCGGCCCGGGCCUGCACCGGCUGGGACAGCGCAGGAAGUGACAGACCUGAUGGAUCCCCGCCACCCCGCAGGGUAGAUUUUUCUCUAUUCCUUACAACCUGUGAAGGGCUGUCUCUAUCACGCGAAAUGAAGUGCAUCCGUUUCACCUGGAGAGUUGGGGUGGAGAGCACCCUAAAGCAGUUCCUGGGCUGUCCACCUCCUCUUCCCUGGGAGGAGCGGGUCGCCUAGGAGCUGAUGACCGUCUGCUAACAGCGAUCCAGGCCCAGGCCCAGGAGAUUCACCUCCAUGAGAAGACCGUGCGGUAUAACCAACAGUGUGUAAAUUAGGUGACAAAAGGGCUUAAGAAGCCCAAAGAGGCGCAGUCACGCCUUCAGAGACAAAGCUGGACUCGGGCCUGGGCCUGUGAGACCCGAGUCUGAGCAGAACCCUUGAGCCUUGCUGCAGACCCAGUCCCUCUGCACUGCGGCCACUUCUGCCAGCCCCGGGCUCACUCCGGGGGCCCUGCCAGCGCGUGCCGGGGCUUGGGGCUGCAGGAGAAGCUUUUGUCUGGGGGUCCAAGAGUAUCAGCUUGGAUGCUGAGGCUGGUCUACACCUGACAGUGUCUUUUAUUUGCAACUAUCUUGGCUAAGAGAAGCAGGUCAUUCUCAGGCAUUCAAUUCAUUGCAUUCAGAUUCCACAUCUUCUCAGAACACAGAACACUUCUUUUUUUUUUUUUUUUCUUCUCCCCUCCAGUGAAUUUUCCUUGUCAAAGUCCUCACCCGCUUCCAAGGCAGUCUGAGUUUGUGGAUUUAGUUAUUUAUUUAAUUUUUUAAAAAAGAAAUCUUUGUUUUUUUGUUUUUUAAAGAAAUCUUUAUUUUAUUUUAUUUAUUUUUGGUAGUGGGGAUCAAACUCGGGACCUUGAGCUUGCGAGGGAGGCAGGCGGUGGAACCACUGAGCUAAAUCCCCGGCUUAAUUUGGGUUUUUUGAGGCAGGGUCUUGUUAUGUAGCCCAGGCUGGCCUCGAAUUUGUGGUGAUCCUCCUGCCUCAACCUCCUGAGUGCUGGAUUACAGGUGUGUGCCACCACACCCAGCCAGAAUUUGCUGAUUUAGGGUUUCAGAGCUGCUGUGAGUUGGGGACAAAGAAACUUCACAACUGGGAAAAUACUUCCUAGUUCAACCCCAGCUGCCUUCAAAUGUUCUGGGUUGGAAUGGGCACGAAGGUAGAUGGGGUAGAGGAUAAGCCAAUAUGUCCAGUGGGGUUCAGUCUAAGUCUUAUCCAUUUCAUCAGAUUUAUGGAAAAUUGUCAAUAAGACUAAAAUACAAAGCCACCCAAACUUCAGUGUGGUCCCAGUGUUAUUCCCCCCCCCCAAAUAAUGCAUAUCUAUAAACACAGUCUGAGAGAAGACUAUUAAAAUGGUUUUAUCUGGU